Molecule: ribosomal RNA, 506 nt
Filed under: uncultured bacterium
Lineage: Bacteria
Description: partial 16S ribosomal RNA
Rfam family: Bacterial small subunit ribosomal RNA
Source: RNAcentral
GAUGAACGCUAGCUACAGGCUUAACACAUGCAAGUCGAGGGGUAACGAGAGGAAAGCUUGCUUUCCUUGUCGACGACCGGCGCACGGGUGAGUAACGCGUAUCCAACCUGCCCCCAACUAGGGAAUAACCUUGCGAAAGUAAGACUAAUACCCUAUAAUUUCCUCAGAUGUCAUCUGACGAGGAAUAAAGAUUUAUCGGUUGUGGAUGGGGAUGCGUCUGAUUAGCUUGUUGGCGGGGUAACGGCCCACCAAGGCAACGAUCAGUAGGGGUUCUGAGAGGAAGGUCCACCACAUUGGAAAUGAGACACGGUCCAAACUCCUACGGGAGGCAGCAGUGAGGAAUAUUGGUCAAUGGGCGGAAGCCUGAACCAGCCAAGUAGCGUGAAGGAUGACGGCCCUAUGGGUUGUAAACUGCUUUUAUACAGGAAUAAAGUUAGCCACGUGUGGUUAUUUGUAGGUACUGUAUGAAUAAGGACCGGCUAAUUCCGUGCCAGCCGCCGCCGUAA